Molecule: long non-coding RNA, 709 nt
Organism: Balaenoptera ricei (Rice's whale)
Lineage: Eukaryota; Metazoa; Chordata; Mammalia; Artiodactyla; Balaenopteridae
Exons: 2
Source: RefSeq, a predicted model, not a curated record
UCAGCCUGAGCCCCCUGCCACCGCCCCCUGCCAGGCAGUUUCCCCGUGAUGGCCCUGACAGCUCGGAGUUGGGUUCCGCCCCUGACAAUCAGCCUGCUUUUCAACUAGUCAGGGUUCCGUGCACUUCAGCAGGUUAGAAAUAGCAGCAGUGCCCACACUGCGCCUCCUGUUGCCAUGACUGCCUCAGAGACAGUCCCCCACCUGCAGGCAGACGCCCCCACUCCCCCGGACAAGUCACCAUGGUGGCCAGGACAAGAAGGAGGGCCUGGGGGCCGGCUGCCCUUGGGAGUGGUCCUGGUAGGCCGUCCUCAGCCUGCACCGUCAACCAGGAAGACAUCAGGUGGAAAAGCUCGCCUCAGGUGAGCCCUAAAUCCAGUGAUGGGUUAAGAAACGCCCAGAGGAGAGACACAGGGAGAAAAGAAGACCAAGUGAAGACAGAAGCAGAGAUUGGAGUGAUACUGCCACAAGCCAAGGAAUGCCAGAAGCCACAGAAACUAGAAAAGGCAUGGAAGGAUUCUCCCCCAGAACCUUUGGAAGACUGUAUUCCUGCCAAUACUUUGAUUUUGUACUUCUGGUCUUCAGAACCAUGAUGUAGGACAACCAUCAAAAGACAGAAAGUCCCUCAAGAGUAGGAACCGUGGCUAACUCAUCCUUGUACCUCUAGUGCCCAAGACAAAAAUAAACAAUAAAUGUUUGUUGAAUGAAUAAA